AGGGUUUGAUCAUGGCUCAGGAUGAACGCUGGCGGCGUGCUUAACACAUGCAAGUCGAACGAACCUUCGGGUUAGUGGCGGACGGGUGAGUAACGCGUGAGAAUCUGCCCUCAGGAGGGGGAUAACGGUUGGAAACGACCGCUAAUACCCCAUAUGCCUACUGGUGAAAUGAAUUUCGCCUGAGGAUGAGCUCGCGUCUGAUUAGCUAGUUGGUGAGGUAAUGGCUCACCAAGGCUUCGAUCAGUAGCUGGUCUGAGAGGAUGAUCAGCCACACUGGGACUGAGACACGGCCCAAACUCCUACGGGAGGCAGCAGUGGGGAAUCUUGCACAAUGGAGGAAACUCUGAUGCAGCGAUGCCGCGUGAGUGAAGAAGGCCCUUGGGUUGUAAAGCUCUUUCGUCGGGGAAGAAAAUGACUGUACCCGAAUAAGAAGGUCCGGCUAACUUCGUGCCAGCAGCCGCGGUAAUACGAAGGGACCUAGCGUAGUUCGGAAUUACUGGGCUUAAAGAGUUCGUAGGUGGUUGAAAAAGUUGGUGGUGAAAUCCCAGAGCUUAACUCUGGAACUGCCAUCAAAACUUUUCAGCUAGAGUUUGAUAGAGGAAAGCAGAAUUUCUAGUGUAGAGGUGAAAUUCGUAGAUAUUAGAAAGAAUACCAAUUGCGAAGGCAGCUUUCUGGAUCAUUACUGACACUGAGGAACGAAAGCAUGGGUAGCGAAGAGGAUUAGAUACCCUCGUAGUCCAUGCCGUAAACGAUGUGUGUUAGACGUUGGAAAUUUAUUUUCAGUGUCGCAGCGAAAGCGAUAAACACACCGCCUGGGGAGUACGACCGCAAGGUUAAAACUCAAAUGAAUUGACGGGGACCCGCACAAGUAGUGGAGCAUGUGGUUUAAUUCGAAGAUACGCGCAGAACCUUACCAACACUUGACAUGUUCGUCGCGACUUUAAGAGAUUAAAGUUUUCGGUUCGGCCGGACGAAACACAGGUGCUGCAUGGCUGUCGUCAGCUCGUGUCGUGAGAUGUUGGGUUAAGUCCCGCAACGAGCGCAACCCUCACUUUUAGUUGCCAUCAUUAAGUUGGGCACUCUGAAAGAACUGCCAGUGAUAAGCUGGAGGAAGGUGGGGAUGACGUCAAGUCCUCAUGGCCCUUACGUGUUGGGCUACACACGUGCUACAAUGGUAUUUACAACAGGAAGCGAAACAGCGAUGUUAAGCAAAUCCUCAAAAAAUACCUCAGUUCGGAUUGCACUCUGCAACUCGAGUGCAUGAAGCUGGAAUUACUAGUAAUCGUGGAUCAGCGUGCCACGGUGAAUGCGUUCCCGGGUCUUGUACACACCGCCCGUCACACCAUGGGAGUUGGUUCUACCUUAAGGCAAGGCGUAAAAACCUUGACCACGGUAUAGUCAGCGACUGGGGUGAAGUCAUAACAAGGUAACCGUA
Molecule: ribosomal RNA, 1435 nt
Filed under: uncultured bacterium
Lineage: Bacteria
Description: partial 16S ribosomal RNA
Rfam family: Bacterial small subunit ribosomal RNA
Source: RNAcentral